Clupea harengus (Atlantic herring) is the source of this 839-nucleotide long non-coding RNA. The record is from Ensembl. NCBI's taxonomy places the organism in Eukaryota, Metazoa, Chordata, Actinopteri, Clupeiformes, Clupeidae.
CGGUCUGCGCUCUUCUUUUGCUGAUCAUCCUGACUCUCAUCUUUCUUGGCUUCAGGAAACGCUCCAGGACACAGCAGCAAACAUGUGAAACACCAAGUCAUCUCAACAAUUCAAAGCAAACAUGUGAAACACAAAAUCCUGUCUACGAUCCACAGCCCUGUGGAAAGCCAUUCUCCAAAGGGGAUGAAGAUGAUGAAGAUGUGUAUGGCAAUGAUGAAAUGAUGCAGGAUGAUGAUGGAGAGAUCUAUGCUAACACCGCGUAUGGAGGCGGUGAAGAGCGUUAUGAUGACAUUUAUGCCAAUUACAAGAGCCAGUGAAAGCCAGAAAGCAGCCGUGCACCAGCAAAUCCACCCUGUGCAGUCUCCAGACCAACAGAGGCCCCAAGUGCAAUUCUGUGAAGUGGCAGUGCACAUAUCCAUCUCAAAAAAAGAAAAACAGACAAACAAGCAAACAACAUUAUAUCAUAUGUUUAGUAUGUAAUGAUACUUUUCACUUUUUACUUUCUACUGGUACACAUGCGUGUUUAUUUUCAUGUAAAUAUGCUAAGACCCUAAAAAUUGCCGCUUCACUUAUAUGUAUGUACGGUAUAUGUAUACGCUAUAUGUUACUUUCUUACCUGUGAAUUGAGCCAGUGGUUAACCAACCAGAUUAUACUAAACAGCCUGAGCUUGAGUUGUGAUGUUUGUUUUAUUUUGAGGAGCAGUCACCAUACUGAGUUGACUACCAGUUUAUGUUCUGUUAUUUUGGUUUAUUUAAAAGUAUGACAAACACCGUCUCUCAAACUAUAUAUAUUCAUCCAUUUGGCCAGUGGCGAUUUUAGCCUGAAAUUUCUGGUGGGG